Molecule: ribosomal RNA, 435 nt
Filed under: Burkholderiales bacterium
Lineage: Bacteria; Pseudomonadati; Pseudomonadota; Betaproteobacteria; Burkholderiales
Description: bacterial SSU rRNA
Rfam family: Bacterial small subunit ribosomal RNA
Source: RNAcentral
AGACUGAAGAGUUUGAUCCUGGCUCAGAUUGAACGCUGGCGGCAUGCUUUACACAUGCAAGUCGAACGGCAGCACGGGCUUCGGCCUGGUGGCGAGUGGCGAACGGGUGAGUAAUACAUCGGAACGUGCCCCGUAGUGGGGGAUAACCAGCCGAAAGGUUGGCUAAUACCGCAUAUGCUCUGAGGAGGAAAGCGGGGGAUCGAAAGACCUCGCGCUAUGGGAGCGGCCGAUGUCCGAUUAGCUUGUUGGUGGGGUAAAGGCCUACCAAGGCGACGAUCGGUAGCUGGUCUGAGAGGAUGAUCAGCCACACUGGGACUGAGACACGGCCCAGACUCCUACGGGAGGCAGCAGUGGGGAAUUUUGGACAAUGGGGGCAACCCUGAUCCAGCCAUGCCGCGUGAGUGAAGAAGGCCUUCGGGUUGUAAAGCUCUUUCG